This 77-nucleotide transfer RNA is filed under the name Actinomadura craniellae. RNAcentral's name for it is "Actinomadura sp. LHW63021 tRNA-Arg". It matches the Rfam family "tRNA". From Rfam's summary of the family: Transfer RNA (tRNA) molecules are approximately 80 nucleotides in length. Their secondary structure includes four short double-helical elements and three loops (D, anti-codon, and T loops). Lineage: Bacteria; Bacillati; Actinomycetota; Actinomycetes; Streptosporangiales; Thermomonosporaceae. The record is from RNAcentral.
GCCCUCGUGGCCCAACCGGACAGGGCGCCGGCCUUCGAAGCCGGGAGGUGCGGGUUCGACUCCCGCCGAGGGUGCCC